This 81-nucleotide transfer RNA is filed under the name Cupriavidus numazuensis. RNAcentral describes it as "tRNA-Ser". The record is from RNAcentral. Lineage: Bacteria; Pseudomonadati; Pseudomonadota; Betaproteobacteria; Burkholderiales; Burkholderiaceae.
GCGCACUGGCGCGCAGGUCGGCGUGAGCUCCGCUGCUGGCCGGACGCAGCCGACGUGUGCGUUCCAUCGCAAGGUGCGCGC